ACACCGGCGGCCCGAGUGGUGAUCGUGAUUAUUGGGUCUAAAGGGUCCGUAGCCGGUUUGGUCAGUCCUCCGGGAAAUCUGAUAGCUCAACUAUUAGGCUUUCGGGGGAUACUGCCAGACUUGGAACCGGGAGAGGUAAGAGGUACUACAGGGGUAGGAGUGAAAUCUUGUAAUCCCUGUGGGACCACCUGUGGCGAAGGCGUCUUACCAGAACGGGUUCGACGGUGAGGGACGAAAGCUGGGGGCACGAACCGGUGUAGAUACCCGGGUAGUCCCAGCCGUAAACGAUGCUCGCUAGGUGUCAGGCAUGGCGCGACCGUGUCUGGUGCCGCAGGGAAGCCGUGAAGCGAGCCACCUGGGAAGUACAGCCGCAAGGCUGAAACUCAAAUGAAUUGGCGGGG
Molecule: ribosomal RNA, 401 nt
Filed under: uncultured bacterium
Lineage: Bacteria
Description: partial 16S ribosomal RNA
Rfam family: Archaeal small subunit ribosomal RNA
Source: RNAcentral